AGGGAGAACAGGGAAUAUGAAGGCAGAGUUUGGGGUGAUACAGCAGAAGCCAAGGAAUGACAAAUCCUGGAAAGCAGCAUGGAACAGGUUUUCCCUCACAGCGCUUAGAAGGAACCAAUCCUGCCAACAACUUGAUCUUGGACUUCUAUCUUCUAGAACUUUAAUUUGCAGGUUCUCCCUCUGCCUGCCACCCCACCCAGCAAGGAGGAGAGGAAGUGUUGAGAAGGGAAGAGAUGAGUCCUGGCCCUGUCACUUCUUAGGGGUGUGCUUUUGAACAACCUGCUCACCAUGUAUGAACUUCACUCUUCUUGUUUAUAAAAUGAGGACAAUGA
Molecule: long non-coding RNA, 332 nt
Filed under: Homo sapiens (human)
Lineage: Eukaryota; Metazoa; Chordata; Mammalia; Primates; Hominidae
Description: HSALNT0314944
Source: RNAcentral